Molecule: ribosomal RNA, 1508 nt
Filed under: metagenome
Description: bacterial SSU rRNA
Rfam family: Bacterial small subunit ribosomal RNA
Source: RNAcentral
GCUCAGAUUGAACGCUGGCGGCAGGCCUAACACAUGCAAGUCGAACGGUAACAGGAAGCAGCUUGCUGCUUCGCUGACGAGUGGCGGACGGGUGAGUAAUGUCUGGGAAGCUGCCUGAUGGAGGGGGAUAACUACUGGAAACGGUAGCUAAUACCGCAUAAUGUCGCAAGACCAAAGAGGGGGACCUUCGGGCCUCUUGCCAUCGGAUGUGCCCAGAUGGGAUUAGCUUGUUGGUGGGGUAACGGCUCACCAAGGCGACGAUCCCUAGCUGGUCUGAGAGGAUGACCAGCCACACUGGAACUGAGACACGGUCCAGACUCCUACGGGAGGCAGCAGUGGGGAAUAUUGCACAAUGGGCGCAAGCCUGAUGCAGCCAUGCCGCGUGUAUGAAGAAGGCCUUCGGGUUGUAAAGUACUUUCAGCGGGGAGGAAGGGAGUAAAGUUAAUACCUUUGCUCAUUGACGUUACCCGCAGAAGAAGCACCGGCUAACUCCGUGCCAGCAGCCGCGGUAAUACGGAGGGUGCAAGCGUUAAUCGGAAUUACUGGGCGUAAAGCGCACGCAGGCGGUUUGUUAAGUCAGAUGUGAAAUCCCCGGGCUCAACCUGGGAACUGCAUCUGAUACUGGCAAGCUUGAGUCUCGUAGAGGGGGGUAGAAUUCCAGGUGUAGCGGUGAAAUGCGUAGAGAUCUGGAGGAAUACCGGUGGCGAAGGCGGCCCCCUGGACGAAGACUGACGCUCAGGUGCGAAAGCGUGGAGAGCAAACAGGAUUAGAUACCCUGGUAGUCCACGCCGUAAACGAUGUCGACUUGGAGGUUGUGCCCUUGAGGCGUGGCUUCCGGAGCUAACGCGUUAAGUCGACCGCCUGGGGAGUACGGCCGCAAGGUUAAAACUCAAAUGAAUUGACGGGGGCCCGCACAAGCGGUGGAGCAUGUGGUUUAAUUCGAUGCAACGCGAAGAACCUUACCUGGUCUUGACAUCCACGGAAGUUUUCAGAGAUGAGAAUGUGCCUUCGGGAACCGUGAGACAGGUGCUGCAUGGCUGUCGUCAGCUCGUGUUGUGAAAUGUUGGGUUAAGUCCCGCAACGAGCGCAACCCUUAUCCUUUGUUGCCAGCGGUCCGGCCGGGAACUCAAAGGAGACUGCCAGUGAUAAACUGGAGGAAGGUGGGGAUGACGUCAAGUCAUCAUGGCCCUUACGACCAGGGCUACACACGUGCUACAAUGGCGCAUACAAAGAGAAGCGACCUCGCGAGAGCAAGCGGACCUCAUAAAGUGCGUCGUAGUCCGGAUUGGAGUCUGCAACUCGACUCCAUGAAGUCGGAAUCGCUAGUAAUCGUGGAUCAGAAUGCCACGGUGAAUACGUUCCCGGGCCUUGUACACACCGCCCGUCACACCAUGGGAGUGGGUUGCAAAAGAAGUAGGUAGCUUAACCUUCGGGAGGGCGCUUACCACUUUGUGAUUCAUGACUGGGGUGAAGUCGGAACAAGGUAACCGUAGGGGAACCUGCGGUUG